RNAcentral lists this ribosomal RNA (1957 nucleotides) under human gut metagenome. RNAcentral's name for it is "bacterial LSU rRNA". It matches the Rfam family "Bacterial large subunit ribosomal RNA", at positions 3 to 1984 of the family's 2925-position model. The record is from RNAcentral.
UCAAGUUAUUAAGGGUGCAGGGCGAAUGCCUUGGCACUAGGAGCCGAUGAAGGACGUGAUAAGCUGCGAUAAGCUUCGGGGAGUUGCACGUAAACUUUGAUCCGAAGAUUUCCGAAUGAGGAAACUCACUUAGAGUAAUGUCUAAGUAUCGUAUGAUGAAUACAUAGUCAUACGAGGGGAACCCGGAGAACUGAAACAUCUAAGUACCCGGAGGAAGAGAAAGAAAUUCGAUUCCGUAAGUAGCGGCGAGCGAACGCGGAACAGGCCAAACCAGUGAAGUUUUCUUCGCUGGGGUUGCGGACAUAUCAUAACGAAGAGGUAUCGUAGAAGAAGAGAGUUGGAAAGCUCCGCCACAGAUGGUAACAGCCCAGUAUUUUAAACGAGAAGACUUUAGAUAUGAUCCAGAGUACCACGGGACACGUGAAACCCUGUGGGAAGCAGGAGGGACCAUCCUCCAAGCCUAAAUACUACCUAGUGACCGAUAGCGUAUAGUACCGUGAGGGAAAGGUGAAAAGAACCCCGGGAGGGGAGUGAAAGAGAACCUGAAACCCUGCACUUACAAGCUGUAGGAGCACAUUAUUUGUGUGACUGCGUACUUUUUGUAGAACGGGCCAACGAGUUACGUUGUGUAGCAAGGUUAAGCACUUAAGGUGUGGAGCCGUAGCGAAAGCGAGUCUUAAAUGGGCGUCCAGUUACCCGACGUAGACCCGAAACCAGGCGACCUAUCCAUGAGCAGGUUGAAGCGAAAGUAAAAUUUCGUGGAGGACCGAACCCACGUACGUUGAAAAGUGCGGGGAUGACUUGUGGAUAGCGGUGAAAUUCCAAUCGAGCCUGGAGAUAGCUGGUUCUCCCCGAAAUAGCUUUAGGGCUAGCCUCAAGCUUAGAGAAACGGAGGUAGAGCACUGAAUGUCCUAGGGGGUAUUGCACUUACCGAAGACUAUCAAACUCCGAAUGCCGUAUUCUUUUGCUUGGGAGUCAGACUAUGGGUGAUAAGAUUCAUAGUCAAGAGGGCAACAGCCCAGAUCGUCAGCUAAGGUCCCUAAAUGUAAGUUAAGUGGUAAAGGAUGUGGAAUUGCACAGACAACCAGGAUGUUGGCUUAGAAGCAGCCACUCAUUUAAAGAGUGCGUAAUAGCUCACUGGUCGAGUGAUUCUGCGCCGAAAAUUUCCGGGGCUAAAACUUACUACCGAAGCUACGGCAUCAUUAUGAUGGGUAGGGGAGCUUUCUAUGCGGCUUGAAGCAUGACCGUAAGGACAUGUGGACUGCAUAGAAGUGAGAAUGUUGGCAUGAGUAGCGAGAUGUGGGUGAGAAUCCCACAGGCCGUAAACCCAAGGUUUCCAGGGGAAGGUUCGUCCGCCCUGGGUUAGUCGGGACCUAAGCCGAGGCCGAAAGGCGUAGGCGAUGGACAACAGGUUGAUAUUCCUGUACCACCAAUAACCGUUUGAGAAAUGGGAUGACACAGUAGGAUAAGCUAACCGCACUGUUGGUUAUGUGCGGGCAAGUAUUGAGGCAGUUCCGAUAGGCAAAUCCGUCGGAAUAAUGCUGGGGUACGAUGCGGAGCGAAAUUUAGUAGCGAAGUAGCUGAUUUCACACUGUCGAGAAAAGUCUCUAUCGAGGUUAAAGGUGCCUGUACCGCAAACCGACACAGGUGGGUGAGGAGAGUAUCCUAAGGCCAGCGAGAGAACUGUUGUUAAGGAACUCGGCAAAAUGACCCCGUAACUUAGGGAGAAGGGGUGCCUUCGAAAGAAGGCCGCAGAGAAUAGGCCCAAGCGACUGUUUACCAAAAACAUAGGUUUCUGCUAAGUCGCAAGACGAUGUAUAGGAGCUGACGCCUGCCCGGUGCUGGAAGGUUAAGGGGAUCUGUUAGAGCAAUCGAAGCAGUGAACUUAAGCCCCAGUAAACGGCGGCCGUAACUAUAACGGUCCUAAGGUAGCGAAAUUCCUUGUCGGGUAAGUUCC